UACGUAGGUGGCAAGCGUUGUUCGGAUUUAUUGGGCGUAAAGGGUGCGUAGGUGGGUGAUUAAGUUGGAUGUGCAAAUUCGGGACUCAAUUUCGAACCUGCGUCCAAAACUGGUCAUCUUGAGGUUGGCAGAGGUUAGCGGAAUUUCUGGUGUAGGAGUGAAAUCUAUAGAUAUCAGAAAGAACACCGAUGGCGAAGGCAGCUAACUGGGCUAUACCUGACACUGAAGCACGAAAGCCAGGGGAG
This 245-nucleotide ribosomal RNA is filed under the name uncultured bacterium. RNAcentral describes it as "partial 16S ribosomal RNA". It matches the Rfam family "Bacterial small subunit ribosomal RNA", at positions 524 to 768 of the family's 1533-position model. The record is from RNAcentral.